This 489-nucleotide ribosomal RNA is filed under the name uncultured bacterium. RNAcentral describes it as "partial 16S ribosomal RNA". It matches the Rfam family "Bacterial small subunit ribosomal RNA", at positions 28 to 507 of the family's 1533-position model. The record is from RNAcentral.
GACGAACGCUGGCGGCGUGCUUAACACAUGCAAGUCGAACGGUGAAGGGAUCAGCUUGCUGGUUCUGGAUGAGUGGCGAACGGGUGAGUAACACGUGAGUAACCUGCCCCCUUCUUCUGGAUAACCGCAUGAAAGUGUGGCUAAUACGGGAUAUUCUGCGCCUGCUGCAUGGUGGGUGUGGGAAAGAUAUUGUUUCGGUGGGGGAUGGGCUCGCGGCCUAUCAGCUUGUUGGUGGGGUGAUGGCCUACCAAGGCGGUGACGGGUAGCCGGCCUGAGAGGGUGGACGGUCACACUGGGACUGAGACACGGCCCAGACUCCUACGCGAGGCAGCAGUGGGGAAUAUUGCACAAUGGGCGCAAGCCUGAUGCAGCGACGCCGCGUGAGGGAGGGAGGCCUUCGGGUUGUGAACCUCUUUCGCCAGUGAAGCAGGCCUGUCCCUUGUGGGUGGGUUGACGGUAGCUGGAUAAGAAGCGCCGGCUAACUACGUG